Molecule: ribosomal RNA, 395 nt
Filed under: uncultured eukaryote
Lineage: Eukaryota
Description: SSU rRNA
Rfam family: Eukaryotic small subunit ribosomal RNA
Source: RNAcentral
CCAGCAGCCGCGGUAAUUCCAGCUCCAAUAGCGUAUAUUAAAGUUGUUGCAGUUAAAAAGUUCGUAGUUGAAUGUCUAGGCCCGCGCGGGGUCGGCCAUCGUGCCAGCACUGCCGCGUGGAGGGCUUACAAACGUGGGGGGGUGGGUGGCUUAACCGCUGCGCGCCCCACCACCAAUUACUGUGAACAAAUUAGAGUGUUUAAAGCGGGCAGGAUGGCUUGAAUACAUUAGCAUGGAAUAAUGAGAUAGGACUUUGGUGCUAUUUCGUUGGUUGCGCAGCAGAGUAAUGGUUAACAGGGACAGUUGGGGGUAUUCAUAUUUGAAUGUCAGAGGUGAAAUUCUAGGAUUCUUCAAAGAUGAACAACUGCGAAAGCAUUUACCAAGGAUGCUCUCAU